This 505-nucleotide ribosomal RNA is filed under the name uncultured bacterium. RNAcentral's name for it is "partial 16S ribosomal RNA". It matches the Rfam family "Bacterial small subunit ribosomal RNA", at positions 28 to 507 of the family's 1533-position model. The record is from RNAcentral.
GACGAACGCUGGCGGCGUGCCUAAUACAUGCAAGUAGAACGCACAGUUUAUACCGUAGCUUGCUACACCAUAGACUGUGAGUUGCGAACGGGUGAGUAACGCGUAGGUAACCUGCCUGGUAGCGGGGGAUAACUAUUGGAAACGAUAGCUAAUACCGCAUAAUAUUGAUUAUUGCAUGAUAAUUGAUUGAAAGAUGCUAUUGCAUCACUACCAGAUGGACCUGCGUUGUAUUAGCUAGUAGGUGAGGUAACGGCUCACCUAGGCGACGAUACAUAGCCGACCUGAGAGGGUGAUCGGCCACACUGGGACUGGGACACGGCCCAGACUCCUACGGGAGGCAGCAGUAGGGAAUCUUCGGCAAUGGACGAAAGUCUGACCGAGCAACGCCGCGUGAGUGAAGAAGGGUUUCGGAUCGUAAAGCUCUGUUGUAAGAGAAGAACGGGUGUGAGAGUGGAAAGUUCACACUGUGACGGUAUCUUACCAGAAAGGGACGGCUAACUACGUG